This 1719-nucleotide ribosomal RNA is filed under the name Triticum aestivum (bread wheat). Its description in RNAcentral is "partial small subunit ribosomal RNA". Lineage: Eukaryota; Viridiplantae; Streptophyta; Magnoliopsida; Poales; Poaceae. The record is from RNAcentral.
AUGGCUGAAGACCUUCAACGUGAAGCCAAAGGUGGUGGGCGGCCAACAAGCGGAGUGCGGGGGCGCCAUGGUGGGCAAGAUGCCCAAUGUCACCUGGCCCAAAGGCUCCUUUGUGGAGACUGUGAAGGGGUGGCAAUCGGGGUAGUUCUACAUCACCGAGCCGCGAGGCGCCAACUGGGCGGCGACCCCCGAAUUUCGAUCCGGCGUCCCCAUGCGGCUCACCUCCUAGAAAGAGAAGGGCUUAGCCUGGGGCUCAACGGAAGAGCUGACCGGACUCCAGACCUGCGUCCAAAAUAUGAUAAGCAAGAAAAUCAAGCUUGUCAACGUGGUCCAUGUUAUGCUCCUCCGCCGGAUCCUUCCGUGCCAGAGACGGGUUUGCAAUUUGUGGGAGUUCGACCCGGUCGAACACGAGACACUGCGAGAGCUCUUCGGCACGACGCACGAAGACGUCUGGAAGGUGCUUUUCAAGGCCAACGAGGUACCACCACCCAUAACCGAAGAUCGUGGACUCAGCGCGGAACGCCCAGCCAAUCCGGUAAGUUUUCAUAUUUUGCAAGAUAUGCCUUUUACCAGCACAUCCGCGGGAGGUAUCUAAGCCUCCAUGCCGACUUACAGGCCUGGGUAGCGAUAGUGGAGCAGAUCGACUGUCCGGCUCCGCUACCUGAAGACCCAGAAUCGCCUCUUCUAACGAAGAUGCUGUUUCCGGCGCCCUACGAGGUGCCGGAGAAGAAGGCCAAGAAGGCGGCCGCGGGGACCAGAGAAGGUCUCCGGCGCAAGGUUGUAUCGGACAUGACAUCCGAAGACACAGAGACGCGCUCCUCCACCGAAGACGAGGAGGAGAAAGAGGAAAUCCACCCCCCACCGGGGGGAGAAAGAAGAGGAAGGCCGCCACGCACGGGGAGGCCGAGGUGUCCAAGAAGGGAAAAACCUUCCUUCCGGACCAUUCCACCACAGCCACCUACAGCGGCGAGGAGUGGGAGCCCAGGGACAAGCCCCUGGCUAAGUCGUAAGUAUCCGGACACAAAUAGCAUUUCCGGUAUGUUUGUUUUAUUGCUUCUUAUCAUGCCAGACGUGCACCUGCAGUCCGUCCAAAUCCAGCAUCGAUAUAUCCUCCUCUUCGGAGGGGUCUCUGGGCCCGUCGGCGAUGAACAGCGAUUCACUCCCGACAACCCCCUCCCCCAGGCCCGCGGACGACACCGAGGUGUUGUCUCAAAGGAUACCAGGGCAAGGGGAGACAGUUCCAGAGACGCCCCCAGGCGAAAUCCCAGUCGCUGGGCACAUGGGGGGAAGACCCCCAUGGACUCCAAUAAUGGGGGUCGCAGCAAGUUUGGCCCCCAGCCGAAUACAGCUCCGGAAACCCAAGUGGUUCCGAAUUCAGGCAGGGAGCCUCUCUCUAAGGGGGGCGAGCCGCCUGUACCGAUGACCUCUGUCCAUCCAGAGGCACCGGACAUCUUGCUGGAAGCGCUUCACGGCACUUCCAUUGAUGAAGAACACCGUAAGAGUACGGUGAUUGAGAAGGUCCGGUCCGCCAAAAGCGGAUUGACCGAAGCCUGCGCUAGCCUCCUAACAGGCUUUGAGGCGUCGCUGCUGGCCGCUGCCGCUCGUACUGCGGAGGUCUCUGGACUAAAGCAGGACCUAGAGCGGACCGAGGGAGAGCUCGGCCUCGUGAAGAGGCAGCUCGAGGAAAGUCAAGGCUUCGCAAGAGAAACUUGGAGUUAA